UUGACCUCGGAUCAGGUAGGGAUACCCGCUGAACUUAAGCAUAUCAAUAAGCGGAGGAAAAGAAACCAACAGGGAUUGCCUCAGUAACGGCGAGUGAAGCGGCAAGAGCUCAAAUUUGAAAGCUGGCCCCCUCGGGGUCCGCAUUGUAAUUUGCAGAGGAUGCUUCGGGAGUGGCCCCCAUCUAAGUGCUCUGGAACGGGCCGUCAUAGAGGGUGAGAAUCCCGUAUGGGAU
This 232-nucleotide ribosomal RNA is filed under the name Penicillium decumbens. RNAcentral's name for it is "partial 28S ribosomal RNA". It matches the Rfam family "Eukaryotic large subunit ribosomal RNA", at positions 1 to 229 of the family's 3401-position model. The record is from RNAcentral. Lineage: Eukaryota; Fungi; Ascomycota; Eurotiomycetes; Eurotiales; Aspergillaceae.